UGAACCCAGCCCUUGGUGUUCAAAAUCACUUUUAGGAGAAGUAGAGCUUUUUCUUUCAUGUAUCUGGACCAGUAGUUCACUUACUCUGGAAGUCAGAGGCCCUAUGGACUGCCCAGCCCAGCUGCUGUGGAAUGUGGCAGAGAAAGAGGGUGAGAGGGCCUGAAUGGCUCCCAUGCCAGGAGUAUUAUGCAAACACGGGAGAAAAAACCAUGCCUCCUCUACUGGUCUACAGGAGCACUUGAAAACCUGCUCAUCUGCAAGCAAUGGGGCUCGACUCUACAUCACAGCAGUGGAUACUGCAUCGCCUUCGAGAACCCAAUGACUGGCUGCUGUAUUUUUAAUGCCUGAAUGAAAGAACAAAGGAAGGCGAACACCAGACAAGAUCGUUUCAUUCCUCCAUGAGCUGUUUGCAGCCUGGCUCAAGCUCAGCUACCAUAAAUGUUUUAAAAUUCUGUCUUUGCAAGGGAACAAG
Molecule: long non-coding RNA, 472 nt
Filed under: Rhinopithecus roxellana (golden snub-nosed monkey)
Lineage: Eukaryota; Metazoa; Chordata; Mammalia; Primates; Cercopithecidae
Description: lncRNA (ENSRROG00000045893.1)
Source: RNAcentral